AGUAUUUGUAGGAGGCCACCAGAGAGACAGGAUUGCAAGGUUUUAAAUAUGCUAGUGUCAUGAGGUCAUGGAUUUCCUACCUGAAACAGAUAGUGUGACUGCCCUGCUAUAGCCAUGUUUGGCCAGUGUAGGAAUUUUGAGAACAGUGAACACUUAAUACUCAGAUGGCAUUUUGCCACCCCGACAAGGACCAUACCUGCCAUUCCAUUGUAGUUCGCCUUGCCCAGAAGUUUUAAAAUUUUUCUUUCAGCCUGGGAUUUCAAGUGUACUACAGCAUCCUCUUCACCUAUACAAGCGUCUGUUGUUUUAAAAGGAAACUGAUAUAAUUUGAGCAAAUAAUUUGAAGAUGGGUAAAUAGAAGUUUGACUGAAGCUGAUGAAAAUGAAGGAAAAGAGGGAGAAGAAACCAGCUGCCUGGAAGACUGACCCUCUGAGAUGCUCUGGAGCCGUGCAGUUGUUCUCACUGGCAGAUCAGUCCUGUCCCUCCAAUAAAAGAGAGGGUGAUCUUGGUGUGAGAUGUUCUCUUUUGAAGUGUGAUCAAAGCUUUGAGCUCAGGGAUUGCUUAGCAAGGUGGAAUUCUUUCUUUCUCUUGAGAGUUUAAAUGACCUCUGUAAUUGAUAGGCAUCGUAGUCACAAAAUGAAGUUUUGAAGUGGAGAAGAUAAAAGGUCACUACCUUGGAAAAUAGUGAGAAUUUCUUUCCUUUGGUGUUGCCUUCAUUUCACACUUGAUAAUUCUGUAAGGUUCUGAUUGUCACCCUGCAGCAGUUUCCAUAUGACUCAGAAAAAGCCCCCAGGCUCUUGCUACCCAGCUUGAGAUCAUUAAAAUGCUUGAGUGAACUUUGGAGUUCCUGUCUGUUGAAUAGAGAUGACACUGACCAGAGAGGGAAACUUACGUAGGAGGUGUGUCUGGGUCAGGCAUCAAAAUGCUGUGGAAUUGUCUCAAAAGAGAAACACUAACAUUUUGCAAUGCUUUCAUAGGGGCAUAUUCAAGAAU
RNAcentral lists this long non-coding RNA (993 nucleotides) under Homo sapiens (human). RNAcentral describes it as "non-protein coding lnc-RDX-1:8". The record is from RNAcentral. Lineage: Eukaryota; Metazoa; Chordata; Mammalia; Primates; Hominidae.